AAGUAAUACCUAUCUUAGUAAUACAUAUUAAAACCAUCAAAAAUAAUUAAGCGGCCUUAUUACAUUUAAAAACCCAAAACUUCAAACGUAAAUAAAAGGAUGUCCAGUUCACCAGAAGAAAAUCAAACUUACAGAACGGGUGGCCACUCCGAAUUCCCUCACAGCUCCAAGCCCACUAUGGUUGGGGAUUUCCUGCGUGGAUGAAAAUAAAAGGGGUGAGUUUG
Molecule: long non-coding RNA, 224 nt
Filed under: Gossypium barbadense (sea-island cotton)
Lineage: Eukaryota; Viridiplantae; Streptophyta; Magnoliopsida; Malvales; Malvaceae
Description: long non-coding RNA (GBAR_LNC002989)
Source: RNAcentral